This 2624-nucleotide ribosomal RNA is filed under the name Escherichia coli. RNAcentral describes it as "partial 23S ribosomal RNA". It matches the Rfam family "Bacterial large subunit ribosomal RNA", at positions 307 to 2915 of the family's 2925-position model. Lineage: Bacteria; Pseudomonadati; Pseudomonadota; Gammaproteobacteria; Enterobacterales; Enterobacteriaceae. The record is from RNAcentral.
AGCCUGAAUCAGUGUGUGUGUUAGUGGAAGCGUCUGGAAAGGCGCGCGAUACAGGGUGACAGCCCCGUACACAAAAAUGCACAUACUGUGAGCUCGAUGAGUAGGGCGGGACACGUGGUAUCCUGUCUGAAUAUGGGGGGACCAUCCUCCAAGGCUAAAUACUCCUGACUGACCGAUAGUGAACCAGUACCGUGAGGGAAAGGCGAAAAGAACCCCGGCGAGGGGAGUGAAAAAGAACCUGAAACCGUGUACGUACAAGCAGUGGGAGCACGCUUAGGCGUGUGACUGCGUACCUUUUGUAUAAUGGGUCAGCGACUUAUAUUCUGUAGCAAGGUUAACCGAAUAGGGGAGCCGAAGGGAAACCGAGUCUUAACUGGGCGUUAAGUUGCAGGGUAUAGACCCGAAACCCGGUGAUCUAGCCAUGGGCAGGUUGAAGGUUGGGUAACACUAACUGGAGGACCGAACCGACUAAUGUUGAAAAAUUAGCGGAUGACUUGUGGCUGGGGGUGAAAGGCCAAUCAAACCGGGAGAUAGCUGGUUCUCCCCGAAAGCUAUUUAGGUAGCGCCUCGUGAAUUCAUCUCCGGGGGUAGAGCACUGUUUCGGCAAGGGGGUCAUCCCGACUUACCAACCCGAUGCAAACUGCGAAUACCGGAGAAUGUUAUCACGGGAGACACACGGCGGGUGCUAACGUCCGUCGUGAAGAGGGAAACAACCCAGACCGCCAGCUAAGGUCCCAAAGUCAUGGUUAAGUGGGAAACGAUGUGGGAAGGCCCAGACAGCCAGGAUGUUGGCUUAGAAGCAGCCAUCAUUUAAAGAAAGCGUAAUAGCUCACUGGUCGAGUCGGCCUGCGCGGAAGAUGUAACGGGGCUAAACCAUGCACCGAAGCUGCGGCAGCGACGCUGAUGCGUUGUUGGGUAGGGGAGCGUUCUGUAAGCCUGUGAAGGUGUGCUGUGAGGCAUGCUGGAGGUAUCAGAAGUGCGAAUGCUGACAUAAGUAACGAUAAAGCGGGUGAAAAGCCCGCUCGCCGGAAGACCAAGGGUUCCUGUCCAACGUUAAUCGGGGCAGGGUGAGUCGACCCCUAAGGCGAGGCCGAAAGGCGUAGUCGAUGGGAAACAGGUUAAUAUUCCUGUACUUGGUGUUACUGCGAAGGGGGGACGGAGAAGGCUAUGUUGGCCGGGCGACGGUUGUCCCGGUUUAAGCGUGUAGGCUGGUUUUCCAGGCAAAUCCGGAAAAUCAAGGCUGAGGCGUGAUGACGAGGCACUACGGUGCUGAAGCAACAAAUGCCCUGCUUCCAGGAAAAGCCUCUAAGCAUCAGGUAACAUCAAAUCGUACCCCAAACCGACACAGGUGGUCAGGUAGAGAAUACCAAGGCGCUUGAGAGAACUCGGGUGAAGGAACUAGGCAAAAUGGUGCCGUAACUUCGGGAGAAGGCACGCUGAUAUGUAGGUGAAGCGACUUGCUCGUGGAGCUGAAAUCAGUCGAAGAUACCAGCUGGCUGCAACUGUUUAUUAAAAACACAGCACUGUGCAAACACGAAAGUGGACGUAUACGGUGUGACGCCUGCCCGGUGCCGGAAGGUUAAUUGAUGGGGUCAGCGCAAGCGAAGCUCUUGAUCGAAGCCCCGGUAAACGGCGGCCGUAACUAUAACGGUCCUAAGGUAGCGAAAUUCCUUGUCGGGUAAGUUCCGACCUGCACGAAUGGCGUAAUGAUGGCCAGGCUGUCUCCACCCGAGACUCAGUGAAAUUGAACUCGCUGUGAAGAUGCAGUGUACCCGCGGCAAGACGGAAAGACCCCGUGAACCUUUACUAUAGCUUGACACUGAACAUUGAGCCUUGAUGUGUAGGAUAGGUGGGAGGCUUUGAAGUGUGGACGCCAGUCUGCAUGGAGCCGGCCUUGAAAUACCACCCUUUAAUGUUUGAUGUUCUAACGUUGACCCGUGAUCCGGGUUGCGGACAGUGUCUGGUGGGUAGUUUGACUGGGGCGGUCUCCUCCUAAAGAGUAACGGAGGAGCACGAAGGUUGGCUAAUCCUGGUCGGACAUCAGGAGGUUAGUGCAAUGGCAUAAGCCAGCUUGACUGCGAGCGUGACGGCGCGAGCAGGUGCGAAAGCAGGUCAUAGUGAUCCGGUGGUUCUGAAUGGAAGGGCCAUCGCUCAACGGAUAAAAGGUACUCCGGGGAUAACAGGCUGAUACCGCCCAAGAGUUCAUAUCGACGGCGGUGUUUGGCACCUCGAUGUCGGCUCAUCACAUCCUGGGGCUGAAGUAGGUCCCAAGGGUAUGGCUGUUCGCCAUUUAAAGUGGUACGCGAGCUGGGUUUAGAACGUCGUGAGACAGUUCGGUCCCUAUCUGCCGUGGGCGCUGGAGAACUGAGGGGGGCUGCUCCUAGUACGAGAGGACCGGAGUGGACGCAUCACUGGUGUUCGGGUUGUCAUGCCAAUGGCACUGCCCGGUAGCUAAAUGCGGAAGAGAUAAGUGCUGAAAGCAUCUAAGCACGAAACUUGCCCCGAGAUGAGUUCUCCCUGACUCCUUGAGAGUCCUGAAGGAACGUUGAAGACGACGACGUUGAUAGGCCGGGUGUGUAAGCGCAGCGAUGCGUUGAGCUAACCGGUACUAAUGAACCGUGAGG